Molecule: ribosomal RNA, 253 nt
Filed under: uncultured bacterium
Lineage: Bacteria
Description: partial 16S ribosomal RNA
Rfam family: Bacterial small subunit ribosomal RNA
Source: RNAcentral
UACGGGGGGGGCAAGCGUUGUUCGGAAUUACUGGGCGUAAAGGGCUCGUAGGCGGCCAACUAAGUCGGAUGUGAAAUCCCCAGGCUUAACCUGGGAACUGCAUCCGAUACUGGAUGGCUUGAAUCCGGGAGAGGGAUGCAGAAUUCCAGGUGUAGCGGUGAAAUGCGUAGAUAUCUGGAGGAAUACCGGUGGCGAAGGCGGCAUCCCGGACCGGCAUUGACGCUGAGGAGCGAAAGCUAGGGGAGCAAACGGG